GGGAAAUGGCUCCAAUCUCCCGGCUCCUGCCCUCUGCUCCACCCCCAGAGCUCUCCACCACCCAGGUCAGCCAAGCUGUUUCCCAAGAAUGUAAACUCAAGAUCCAGUAGAUCCAAGAAGAGACAUAGAAGUCACCACUUUUUUCCUCAAUCCAGCUCCUCUGAGCUGCCCUAGUACCUGAAUAAAGCAUUGUUGUGAAACACA
Long non-coding RNA from Ornithorhynchus anatinus (platypus), 204 nucleotides. RefSeq lists it as uncharacterized. The transcript is spliced from 2 exons. Lineage: Eukaryota; Metazoa; Chordata; Mammalia; Monotremata; Ornithorhynchidae. The record is from RefSeq and is a predicted model, not a curated record.